RNAcentral lists this ribosomal RNA (492 nucleotides) under uncultured bacterium. Its description in RNAcentral is "partial 16S ribosomal RNA". It matches the Rfam family "Bacterial small subunit ribosomal RNA", at positions 29 to 507 of the family's 1533-position model. The record is from RNAcentral.
AGUGAACGCUGGCGGUAGGCCUAACACAUGCAAGUCGAACGGCAGCACAGUAAGAGCUUGCUCUUACGGGUGGCGAGUGGCGGACGGGUGAGGAAUACAUCGGAAUCUACUUUUUCUGGGGGGAUAACGUAGGGAAACUUCCGCUAAUACCGCAUACGACCAACGGGUGAAAGCAGGGGAUCUUCGGACCUUGCGCGAUUGAAUGAGCCGAUGUCGGAUUAGCUAGUUGGCGGGGUAAAGGCCCACCAAGGCGACGAUCCGUAGCUGGUCUGAGAGGAUGAUCAGCCACACUGGAACUGAGACACGGUCCAGACUCCUACGGGAGGCAGCAGUGGGGAAUAUUGGACAAUGGGCGCAAGCCUGAUCCGGCCAUACCGCGUGGGUGAAGAAGGCCUUCGGGUUGUAAAGCCCUUUUGUUGGGAAAGAAAAGCAGCAGGUUAAUACCCCGCUGUUCUGACGGUACCCAAAGAAUAAGCACCGGCUAACUUCGUG